Molecule: long non-coding RNA, 326 nt
Filed under: Panax ginseng (ginseng)
Lineage: Eukaryota; Viridiplantae; Streptophyta; Magnoliopsida; Apiales; Araliaceae
Description: long non-coding RNA (PGIN_LNC012614)
Source: RNAcentral
UUCAAAUAGCUCCCAACUAUUAUAUUCCAACGGGAAGAUUGUGAAGGAGUAUAUAUCAACUAGAGCUUCAAAGAUAAAGAGUUGUUGAGUUAAAAAAUCGUUGAGUUGUUGGAAUGCUAUAUUGUUGACUCUACGAGUUCCACCAGAGCUGAACAGAACAAGUCUUAGUGGUGGUGAGACUACAAAGGUGGAAGUGAAGCAGAUUUGAAGAAGGACUUGAACAGACUAAAGCUUCACUCAAUAAGGAUAAGAAUGCCACUGAAGAUGGCAGCUAAGUUGAGAGCCAAGAAGGCCGAGAAGAUAGCAUUCAGAAAAGUGGCAGAGCA